UGGGGGCAACCCUGACCCAUCAAUGUCUCGUGUGUGAAAAAGGCCUUCGGGUUGUAAAGCACUUUUAUCACGGGCGAAAUCUGGAUGCUUAAUACGUGUGCCGUCUGACGGUACCUGAGGAAUACGCACCGGCUAACUUCGUGCCAGAAGCCGCGGUAAUA
RNAcentral lists this ribosomal RNA (161 nucleotides) under uncultured bacterium. RNAcentral's name for it is "partial 16S ribosomal RNA". It matches the Rfam family "Bacterial small subunit ribosomal RNA", at positions 372 to 525 of the family's 1533-position model. The record is from RNAcentral.